GGGGGCGAACUGGUAUCGACCGGAUAACUGAAGCGUUUGGCUGCGUGCCGUGGUUGGUCAGCAGGCCACGUAAAAAAGCCGACCACUAUCUUCAAUUGCCGAAGAUAACCUUGCUUUGGCUGCCUAAUUAGGCUGCCCCGGCUGAGGGGUUUUGUCGGAGAGCCCUGAAUGCCCGGUUGCCAAUUCCGACUCGUCGCGGGUCAUUGCCAGGCACGCCCGAGAUUAAACCCUGUUCCCGGCUGGUCGUUGACGCAUCGGGUCGCUACGAGACGCCGACGGCGAGAACCAAAUAAGCGACUACGCACGUAGAGGCCGCCGUGGAUUUAUCGCGGGACGCGGGUUCGAUUCCCGCCGCCUCCACUU
This 363-nucleotide transfer-messenger RNA is filed under the name Pirellulales bacterium. It matches the Rfam family "transfer-messenger RNA". Rfam says of the family: Bacterial tmRNA, also known as 10Sa RNA or SsrA, is named for its dual tRNA and mRNA-like properties. The record is from RNAcentral. Lineage: Bacteria; Pseudomonadati; Planctomycetota; Planctomycetia; Pirellulales.